UACGUAGGGUGCGAGCGUUAAUCGGAAUUACUGGGCGUAAAGCGUGCGCAGGCGGUUCGUUAAGUUCGUUGUGAAAGCCCCGGGCUCAACCUGGGAACUGCGUCCGAUACUGGCAGGCUUGAAUCCGGGAGAGGGAUGUGGAAUUCCAGGUGUAGCGGUGAAAUGCGUAGAUAUCUGGAGGAACACCGGUGGCGAAGGCGGCAUCCUGGACCAACACUGACACUGAGGAGCGAAAGCCAGGGGAGCAAACGGG
This 253-nucleotide ribosomal RNA is filed under the name uncultured bacterium. Its description in RNAcentral is "partial 16S ribosomal RNA". It matches the Rfam family "Bacterial small subunit ribosomal RNA", at positions 524 to 776 of the family's 1533-position model. The record is from RNAcentral.